AAGUCGUAACAAGGUAACCGUAGGUGAACCUGCGGUUGGAUCAUUACCAAUUUAUAUACUAUGUUUUUUUCCUUUUGAUUUUUAUAAUCGGAGGGGGGGAAAUGUAUGUAUACAAAACCCAAAUGUGAACUUGUAAUUGUUUUUGGUAGUAUUCUUUGAUCUUUGCCAAAUUUUAUGGGGCCCUUCCUAAAAAAAAAGGGCUAUCGAAGAACUAUCAAAGGGAAAAGAAUAUUUUCUCAACUUUAUCAAACCCAAAAAAUCUUCUUUUUUUUUAAAAAGUCUUAUUUUUGAGUUUUUGACUGAUUUCUUUUAUUGUUUUAUUACAAAAAGAAGAGAGAGGAUCAAAAAUUUCUUAAAAGCCAAUUGAAAAAACAACUUUUAACAACGGAUCUCUUGGCUCUC
This 402-nucleotide unclassified non-coding RNA is filed under the name fungal sp. RNAcentral's name for it is "partial internal transcribed spacer region". The stretch from base 1 to 46 matches the Rfam family "Eukaryotic small subunit ribosomal RNA", at positions 1786 to 1831 of the family's 1831-position model. The record is from RNAcentral. Lineage: Eukaryota; Fungi.